GCCUCUAUCAUUGGGGAUGUUCAAGUUGGAAGAGGAUCAUCUAUUUGGUACGGAUGUGUUUUGAGAGGUAUGACAUGAUUUAUUAAGACUACUUGUACUAUGCAUGGUGCAUUUAACUUUUUGUUUAUUAAUUGGACAUAAUUGGAUAGAUUACUCUCUGUUUCAUUCUUAAAGUUUGACAUGGAAGAAUUUCUCAUCAUGAAAUUUGUAACAAAAAAUAUUAUGUUAUAGUUAUAAUUAUUGUACUGACAAAUGAAAUUGAUGUGCCCAUAUUGUCAGAGACCGACUUCUUAGUGCAACCAUUUUUUUUUUCUUUCUCUUUGUUCUUUGUCCUUUUCCUAUUUCUGCUGUCUGCAUCUGUUCAGAUAUAUUGUGAAUUUUUUUCUCCUUGACUUGACCAGCCACUGGCUUUAUGAAGAUGAUGAACAUCUGAACAAUUCAUAGGAGAGUCUAAAUCAUCACUGCAUGAGUUCAUAUGAUUAUCUUUUGAAAAUUUAGUCCAUAUUUUAGAGUUCUCCCCGGCUGAAGGUAAGAGUUGCAAUCCUCUAAUUGCCCGUACAUUGGGAAGUUACAACUUACAAGUUGCUUUUUAAGUUCUAUAUGUUUCAACGGGGUGUGAAUUCCUGAAAUUUUUGUGGCUUUCUUUUUCUUUUUUUCCCUUAAUAAUCUUGUACUUUUUUGCUUUGUGGAUAGGUGAUGUGAACAGCAUU
This 710-nucleotide unclassified non-coding RNA is filed under the name Hevea brasiliensis (rubber tree). The record is from RNAcentral. Lineage: Eukaryota; Viridiplantae; Streptophyta; Magnoliopsida; Malpighiales; Euphorbiaceae.